RNAcentral lists this long non-coding RNA (1195 nucleotides) under Mytilus galloprovincialis (Mediterranean mussel). The record is from RNAcentral. Lineage: Eukaryota; Metazoa; Mollusca; Bivalvia; Mytilida; Mytilidae.
GGAACAAAGGGGAUGAUAGUCGGGAAAACCUUAAGCUUCAAUUUCCCUCUUUAUGAAAUAAAUCUUCAAUCAGGCAAAUCUGUGACAGAAGCUCGGUACAUAUUUGAUAUACUCUCAGACUCACAGGCCCCCUUUUCCGAUUUCUGUUCGCAAACUACAUCUGUAAAGUCAAUUUUAGAUAGCCCUGUUCUUCAAUCACCAAAAAAUAUGCAGCUGGAAAAUGAUAUGCUAUUGGCUCAAAUAUUACAAACUGAGUUAGAAAAUGAAGAUGCUGAAACUGAUACUAUAUUAAAAAACAGAGUACAUGAAACAAAUAAAGAGAAUGAAACACAUGAAAAUUUAAGUUGCAAAUGCACGUGUUGCUGAUGACGAUAUUGAAAUAUUUUGCCAGGAACAGGCCAAUUAAAAUACUAACAGGAAAACCAUAUCUGACAUGGAAAUUCUCACUGAUUUCAUGAAAAAUGCAGUGAAAGAUUCUAAAGAUAUAUGCCAAAUCCCUUCAGUUGAGUUAAACACUAUGAUAUGUAAAUUUUUAUCGAUGUUUGUCAGAGAAAUGGUUCGGAAUAUGAACCUUCAACAGUUCGAAGAAUGAUCUGUAGUUUUGAUCGGUACCUUCGAUCAAUCAUCUAUGGCACAUCCAUAAAAAAAGGGGGAUACCUUUGACCAGGCACGUCGUGUUCUUUCAGUCAAAACAUGGAUUUAAACAAAAUGGGUAAAAGCAACGAACCCAAUAAGGCCCAAGCACUGACAGAAGAGGAGGUUGAUCGCUUGUUUGAGACCGGUCAAAUGGGAAUGCAACAUCCAGAUGCUUUAUUAAGAAUGUUGUGGUUUUUUAAUACAGUGCAUGUUGGAAUGCGAACUGUUACAGAACAUGUAAAAAUGAAAUGGAGAGACAUAAAAUAAUGUGCAGGCAAAACAGGGGCAGAAUAUUUGCAAUAUUCUGAAAGGGUCACAAAAUCAAGAACAGGGACUAAUCCAGGAAAUAUCAGAGAAGUUCCUCCAAAGCCAUGGUGUAACUUAUCUAAGAUAUUUGCUUUAGGGGUAAAAAGCCCUUAGUGUUUCAAAUAAUUCAAAAUUUUAUAAUGGGUAUAUUUACAGGAAACGAACAUUUGAACAGUUUGGAUGUGACCAUGCCACUGAAAAGAGAUUGGAAGAUUUAAAAUUAUGGUUGUGUCGAAUUUGAGUGUCUGAACAA